CUCACUUUUGCCAGCACUUAUCUGCAGGAUACAGCAGCGUUCAAAUAAUGUACAGCGUCUCGUCUCUAAUCAGCGCUGCAGGAGAUAAGCUCGGAUAGAGAUUUCGGAUUAAGCACUGGAGCUGUUCUGGAAUAAGGCCUGUUCUGUUGAUGUGAGCAUACCUGGAGCAUACCAUGGGAUGGCCUCGAUGUACAUGUUGCAAAAAUCUUCUUCAAUGCACUCUGCUGAAUUUCCACUCCAGCAGACGUUUCCUCCUUUGUAAAUGUCAGAUUUCCUCAUGUGCACCAUGGUUUCACUGUCUCUGGAAGCUCUCUCAUCCUCAGUGUAGCAGAUCUGCAGAUGAGCC
Long non-coding RNA from Poecile atricapillus (Black-capped chickadee), 346 nucleotides. RefSeq lists it as uncharacterized. The record is from RefSeq and is a predicted model, not a curated record. The transcript is spliced from 3 exons. Lineage: Eukaryota; Metazoa; Chordata; Aves; Passeriformes; Paridae.